Molecule: ribosomal RNA, 396 nt
Filed under: uncultured bacterium
Lineage: Bacteria
Description: partial 16S ribosomal RNA
Rfam family: Bacterial small subunit ribosomal RNA
Source: RNAcentral
AUACGUAUGGAGCAAGCGUUAUCCGGAUUUACUGGGUGUAAAGGGAGCGUAGACGGCAUAGCAAGUCUGAAGUGAAAUCCCAUGGCUUAACCAUGGAACUGCUUUGGAAACUGCCAGGCUAGAGUGCAGGAGAGGUAAGCGGAAUUCCUAGUGUAGCGGUGAAAUGCGUAGAUAUUAGGAGGAGCACCAGUGGCGAAGGCGGCUUACUGGACUGUAACUGACGUUGAGGCUCGAAAGCGUGGGGAGCAAACAGGAUUAGAUACCCUGUUAGUCCACGCUGUAAACGAUGAUUACUAGGUGUUGGGGGCCAAAGGUCCUCGGUGCCGCCGCAAACGCAUUAAGUAAUCCGCCUGGGGAGUACGUUCGCAAGAAUGAAACUCAAAGGAAUUGACGGGG